GAAAAAUAUGCCCGGCCACGGUGGGAUUCGAACCUACGACCUUUGGAAUACUAGCCCAAUGCUCUUCCAACUGAGCUACGCGGUCAGGACGGUUCGAGUAAGUGAUAUUUCGGAACAGUAUCUAGUUCCUUCAAUACCAAUGUGUUCUAGUAAUAUGGAUUUUUUUUCUGUGUUGGUGUUGUGUACUCAGGUGAAUAAUAUGUUUGCAAUGUUACUCUGAGUGCAUAUCCACACCGGGCGAGCUUGAAAAUAUGCCCGGCCACAUUGGGAUUCGAACCUACGACCUUUGGAAUACUAGCCCAAUGCUCUUCCAACUGAGCUACGCGGUCAGGACGGUUCGAGUAAGUGAUAUUUCGGAACAGUAUCUAGUUCCUUCAAUACCAAUGUGUUCUAGUAAUAUGAAUUUUUCUGUGCUGGUGUUGUGUACUCAGGUGAAUAAUAUGUUUGCGAUGUUACUCUGAGUGCAUAUCCACACCGGGCGAGCUUGAAAAAUAUGCCCGGCCAUGGUGGGAUUCGAACCUACGACCUUUGGAAUACUAGCCCAAUGCUCUUCCAAC
This 557-nucleotide transfer RNA is filed under the name Paramuricea clavata. The record is from RNAcentral. Lineage: Eukaryota; Metazoa; Cnidaria; Anthozoa; Malacalcyonacea; Plexauridae.